Molecule: non-coding RNA, 97 nt
Organism: Mycena leptocephala
Lineage: Eukaryota; Fungi; Basidiomycota; Agaricomycetes; Agaricales; Mycenaceae
Source: the annotation of a GenBank genome assembly
GGCUCGGUGGCGCAUGGCUGCGCAUCUAUUGCUAUUGGCCGGGACAAAAUGUGGGAAGAUAUACAUAGAGAUCCCUGUUCGAAUCGGGGCUGAGCCG